GGCGCCCUGCUCGGUGCGUGGAAUUGGACCCUUUUAAACCCACAUUUCUUAAACGGGAUGCUCACUUGCCCUGCGGACUGCAGGCCUCCUGGCCUUGUGCCGGAAGUUGGAAGCAACGAAACAGGACAGAGGCAACCCACCUGCCAUCUCGUGCAGGUUUUAAUCGGGUCCCCACGGCCAGAGCGGGGCUCUC
RNAcentral lists this non-coding RNA (193 nucleotides) under Candidatus Evtepia faecavium. Its description in RNAcentral is "6S RNA". It matches the Rfam family "6S / SsrS RNA". From Rfam's summary of the family: E. coli 6S RNA was the first non coding RNA to be sequenced, but its function was unknown until recently. It consists of 184 nucleotides that fold into an extended hairpin structure with a large single-stranded internal bulge. Lineage: Bacteria; Bacillati; Bacillota; Clostridia; Eubacteriales. The record is from RNAcentral.